RNAcentral lists this long non-coding RNA (610 nucleotides) under Homo sapiens (human). RNAcentral describes it as "non-protein coding TMEM72-AS1:16". Lineage: Eukaryota; Metazoa; Chordata; Mammalia; Primates; Hominidae. The record is from RNAcentral.
AGGUGUCCCCAGGCCAUUGUUCAGCUCGCCGCGCGCUCCCGAGUUCCCGAGGGCGCCCCGGGACGCGAGGAGAAAGCAGCCCGACUCAGCCCCGAGAGGUUCGGUGUGCGGGCAGCGGCCAGGGACUUUGCGGGGUAGCGCGGACUCCUGGACUUCCAACAAGGGCCGCUGCGCAGGCGCUGCAAUCACUGCAGGCACUUGUCUGCAUGCCUGGUGGGGCUUGGAGUCUGGGGAGGCUUAUCAGUAAAGCCCAGAGCAUUUGCUAUUUAUUGCUCAAGGGGCACCUUUGUACAGUCUGGCCGUUUGCUUGGCAUGGCCUCUUAGAACUCCUUAUUGUUUAAGAAAUCCGAUCUGGUGAAUAAGAAGUUAGUCUUUCUCUCCCAGUCACUGCCUCCUGGACGAAUAUUUGCCAGCACGGAGGCAGAGAGGACAGAAAACCACAAGCCAUUUGGGGAACUGGGAACAGUUCAGUGUUUCUGGGGUGUGGGGGUGUCAAGGUGGGGGAUGGGGUUGAUGGAAAACAUUUGCAAUUUCUGCUUUACCUCACGAUUCCCAGCUCUGACCUCUGGACCUGUUCUCUCCCACCCCUAACAUAAAUCAUUUUAGUUUC